Molecule: long non-coding RNA, 543 nt
Filed under: Parus major (Great Tit)
Lineage: Eukaryota; Metazoa; Chordata; Aves; Passeriformes; Paridae
Description: lncRNA (ENSPMJG00000014733.1)
Source: RNAcentral
GACUGAGGUGGCGCCUGGAGCAGCAACUACUGCUCCAACUUGUGGAUAAGCACUAGAGCAGGAGAGCUACAAAUUCAGCUGGAUCUCUGCUGAGCAGGGUCCUGGCUCCUCAGUGGAUAAAGGAAGGUGGAGCAGAGUGAAGAUUGUCUAUGCCAGUUCAGAUUCCGACCCCACACAUUGUUGAAAUGAGCCAACGUCAAGCCAGAGCUUGCACAAGGAAACAAGCAGUUGCAGGAGAAACCUCAGGAGACGGCUGGCUCUGCACAAGCAAGCUAAGCUGUGCUUUACAGUUAUGGCAUUAAAGUCCAAACCUCACAGAAGUGAAUGAGCAUCUGAGGAAAGCUAAUCAGAACUCCAGGUAAAGGACCUUAAAUCUGCACUGCACAGACAUUGACCCAGACUUUUCUCUGAAGAUUUACUAAGUCUUGAAUGUCCACAAUGUAUAGCAGAGUAAAAUUCAUUAUACAGUGGUAAAGGUAAUCAGUAGAGCAUCUGGUUAAAUUGUUCCAGGCAGAAGAGUGAAGGUAAAAUACAGAGAAGCAU